CCUACGGGAGGCAGCAGUGAGGAAUAUUGGUCAAUGGACGCAAGUCUGAACCAGCCAUGUCGCGUGCAGGAUGACGGUCCUAUGAGUUGUAAACUUCUUUUGUACGGGGGUAAGUCCCGCUACGUGUCUCGGGUUGGAAGUAUCGUACGAAUAAGGAUCGGCUAACUCCGUGCCAGCAGCCCCGGGAAGACGGGGGAUUGAAGCGGUUACCGGAUUUAUUGGGUGUAAAGGGUGCGUAUGGGGUACGAUAAGUUAGAGGUGAAAUUCCCGGGCGCAACACCGGCACUGCCUGUGAUACGGGCGGGCUGGAGUGUAGUAGCGGUAGGCGGAAUGGAUGGUGUAGCGGUGAAAUGCAUAGAGAUCAUGCAGAACACCGAUUGCGAAGGCAGCUUACCAGACUACAACUGACGUUGAGGCACGAAAGCGUGGGGAGCAAACAGGAUUAGAUACCCCGGUAGUC
This 460-nucleotide ribosomal RNA is filed under the name uncultured bacterium. RNAcentral describes it as "partial 16S ribosomal RNA". It matches the Rfam family "Bacterial small subunit ribosomal RNA", at positions 338 to 795 of the family's 1533-position model. The record is from RNAcentral.